UCCGGCUUACCACCGGCGGUCCCAUUAGAGUGCCCAACUUAAUGAUGGCAACUAAUGGCGAGGGUUGCGCUCGUUGCGGGACUUAACCCAACAUCUCACGACACGAGCUGACGACAGCCAUGCAACACCUAACUGUAGGUUCCCCGAAGGGCACAUCGACCUUUCGACCGACUUCCUACCCAUGUCAAGGCCUGGUAAGGUUCUUCGCGUUGCCUCGAAUUAAACCACAUGCUCCACCGCUUGUGCGGGUCCCCGUCAAUUCCUUUGAGUUUUAAUCUUGCGACCGUACUCCCCAGGCGGAGUGCUUAAUGCGUUAGCGGCGCCACUGAAUCCUACGGACCCAACGGCUAGCACUCAUCGUUUACAGCGUGGACUAC
Molecule: unclassified non-coding RNA, 377 nt
Filed under: uncultured Alphaproteobacteria bacterium
Lineage: Bacteria; Pseudomonadati; Pseudomonadota; Alphaproteobacteria
Description: contains 16S-23S intergenic spacer region
Source: RNAcentral